CUAUCGAACCGUUUUAGAAACAUCAGUGGCCAACGGUCGUCAGGAUCGUUGAGCUGCAUUGGCGGGAUUUCGCCGUCUUCGUUUCUCUUUCUUCGCGGACGAACACGCGCUGGGGCUGCAACCUUGCAGAAUCCCUGGUCCUUGACUGGAUAUGCGUUAGGGGCUUGUAGCUCAGUUGGUUAGAGCGCGCGCUUGAUAAGCGUGAGGUCGGAAGUUCAAGUCUUCCCAGGCCCACCACACUCAUCGAGUGAGCAUUCGUCUUCUGGUUACGGGGCCAUAGCUCAGCUGGGAGAGCGCGUGCUUUGCAAGCAUGAGGUCGUCGGUUCGAUCCCGUCUGGCUCCACCAGAUGGUUUGAUCACCGACUACUCUUACCGUCGUCCGCGAAACAUCACUUCGCACUUACUAGUCCGGAUGGACAGUAAGCUGCGUGAUUUCUGACAUCGUAAAGAGGAGAUCGAUCCGAGUUGGAUCGGGCAACAAGUAAUUGUUGCGCGAUACUCCAUUAUCUCCGGAUCAUUUCGGCGCUCGUGCGUCUUUUAGCGUAGCUCACAAGGCUGCAUUGAAAGACAAGCGAGUUGUAAAUGAUCCUUUUAGCGAAGCUUGACCGCCUCGCUAUCGGAACGAUCUUACGAAGCAAGCUGGUCUUUCUAAUCAUUGUCCGGCUGCAGAUAGCGUUCAUCGAGGGCGCGUGCCGCAAGGUAAUUCUGCAGACAACAUUCUGCCGAGUGUGUGGACAUUGAUAAUGAGAG
Molecule: transfer RNA, 750 nt
Filed under: Bradyrhizobium sp. 3.1
Lineage: Bacteria; Pseudomonadati; Pseudomonadota; Alphaproteobacteria; Hyphomicrobiales; Nitrobacteraceae
Also listed under: 5 other names
Description: partial 16S-23S ribosomal RNA intergenic spacer
Rfam family: tRNA (bases 161-234)
Source: RNAcentral